This 227-nucleotide ribosomal RNA is filed under the name uncultured bacterium. Its description in RNAcentral is "partial 16S ribosomal RNA". It matches the Rfam family "Bacterial small subunit ribosomal RNA", at positions 524 to 749 of the family's 1533-position model. The record is from RNAcentral.
UACGUAGGUGGCAAGCGUUGUCCGGAUUUACUGGGCGUAAAGGGUGUGUAGGCGGAAUUUUAAGUAGAAAGUGAAAGGUUGGAGCUCAACUCCAACACUGCUUCCUAUACUGGAAUUCUUGAGUCCCGGAGAGGAAGAUGGAACGACACGUGUAGCGGUGAAAUGCGUUGAUAUGUGUCGGAACACCAAUGGCGAAGGCAGUCUUCUGGACGGGUACUGACGCAUGA